Molecule: long non-coding RNA, 852 nt
Filed under: Homo sapiens (human)
Lineage: Eukaryota; Metazoa; Chordata; Mammalia; Primates; Hominidae
Description: non-protein coding LINC01060:26
Source: RNAcentral
GAUAGACAUCUGGGCAAGUCAACAGGAAGGUGGAUAUCCAAAUCUCUCUCUUCGCAAUGAGUUUCCAGUUAGAUGGAGGAGAGAGUAAUAAAACACAGAGCUGAGAUUCCUGACUUCACAGAUCCCUGAGGAGAUGUUUACUAAAGGGAAUCUUCUGGUCACUGUUACCUUCCUCCGUACUUACCUGCCUCAUGGAUAACACUGAAGAAUGCAGUUUACUUACAUCUUUUUCUGUUUGACAGAAGACAGUUAUUAGAACCCGAAAGGAAGAAGCUAUACGACUGGGGACACAUGUCUUAGAAGCACACUCAUUAGAUAAAGUGUCGCAUACUCUUUGAUAAGGUUCUCACACUGUUGCCCAGGCGGGAGUGCAGUGGCACAAUCUCGGCUCACUGAAACCUCCACCUCCCAGGUUCAAGCGAUUCUCCUGCCUCAGCCUCUUGAGUAACUGGGAUUACAGGUGCCCGCCACCAUGCCCGGCUAAUUUUUUGUAUUUUUAGUAGAGAUGGGGUUUCACUAUGUUGGCCAGGCUGGUCUCGAACACCUGACCUCAUGAUCCAUCUGCCUCAGCUCCCAAAGUGCUGGGAUUACAGGUGUGAGCCACUGCACCCAGCCGAAAUAUUUUCUUUUCUUUUUCUUUCUUUCCUUCUUUUUAAAAAAAUUCUGUAGCUGAUCCCUGAUGGCUUUUAAUUUGAAUAAAACUUUAUUUAAAGAAAGUGUUUAUUCAUUGAUACGAAUCACACAGAGUAUAAUUUCAAGCCCAUUACCAUGAAGAUAUUUUCCUAUGUUUUACUCCAGAAUUUUUAAUUAUUUUAUCUUUCAAAUUUAGAUCUAUAUUCCAGCUAGAAUUGU